This 76-nucleotide transfer RNA is filed under the name Brevundimonas abyssalis. It matches the Rfam family "tRNA". From Rfam's summary of the family: Transfer RNA (tRNA) molecules are approximately 80 nucleotides in length. Their secondary structure includes four short double-helical elements and three loops (D, anti-codon, and T loops). RNAcentral also lists the same sequence under 2 other names. The record is from RNAcentral. Lineage: Bacteria; Pseudomonadati; Pseudomonadota; Alphaproteobacteria; Caulobacterales; Caulobacteraceae.
GGGCGGCUAGCUCAGCUGGAAGAGCAUCUCGUUUACACCGAGAGGGUCGGCGGUUCGAACCCGUCGCCGCCCACCA